Non-coding RNA from Paramuricea clavata, 1078 nucleotides. Lineage: Eukaryota; Metazoa; Cnidaria; Anthozoa; Malacalcyonacea; Plexauridae. The record is from the annotation of a GenBank genome assembly.
UCACAAAGUAGGUCAAGUGUAUGAAUUAAUUUUUCAUAAGUUUAUUUACUAAAGUACAUUUUUUACAGUUAUUUAUGUACAUACUUGGUCUUAUUUGCAUGAGUGUACAUGACAGAUUGUUUUACUUAGAUAUACCCAGUUAUCAUUCAUAACCUAUGAUUUGUUUAAAAAAUGCUGGAAAAACUAAAAAAGUUAGCCAAUUGAAAUAAAUGCACUAAUAACUUGCUAAACAUACCUAUGGUAGUUGCUAUUUAUUAUAUAAAAAACAUAUGUCAACAUACACUCAUGCUUUUUCCUACUACUCGAGUCUCCACUCACCAGGUGUCUUUAUGAAAAUUUUUGGAUAAAAUCCUAUUUUAAAAAAGUCAACCCUAUACUUGAUACACAGAACAUAGACAUCCAGGACAUCUCCUGCAGCAAUUAGUGGGUGCAAAUACUUGCAUAGUUCAGAAGCAAUAUAAACAACAUGUGUCCAUACAGUUCCAUAGUCUAGAUCAAUAGGCAAUUCCAGCUUUUAAUUUAUGCAUGCAGAGGGUGACGGGAAGUAAGGUAUCAUAUUCCUGAUUAUGCUGAAAAUUUUUAAUAAACUGCCUAAACAACCAAAAUAUUUCAAUAUUUACAAUAGCUAUCACUCCAUGUUUACAUGGCUACCAUUUCUAUUUUUCAGCAUUAUCAGCAAUAUGAUACCAUCACCCCCUGCACACAUAGUCUAAAAGCUGGAAUUGGCUAUUGCACUUGGGUCCCUUGGAUUCAAUGGUGCUGGCCGUAUUCUUACAUUGAAUUCACUGUUUUAUCUUGUUCAUGAAGAGCAAGGUAUUAUGCCUUAAUUUUCCAAAUGAUGUCAGUAGUUUUUCUCAUGAGCAGCACCGAUGCACUUGAAUGGUACAGAGUGGGCGAUUUCUUCCUCCCCAUCACUUUCGUCUUCAUCACUUAACUUGUCAUCUCUUUAUGCCCUAUCACCUUGAUCACCUCUUUCAUUAUCAUAUACAUCUUGAACAGGUUCAAGACCAGCCAACCACUCAAGUAAAUCUCUUUCUACAAAAUCAUAACAAGGAAAUUAUUAUGUAUCAAAGAUACA